Molecule: ribosomal RNA, 481 nt
Filed under: uncultured bacterium
Lineage: Bacteria
Description: partial 16S ribosomal RNA
Rfam family: Bacterial small subunit ribosomal RNA
Source: RNAcentral
GAUGAACGCUGGCGGCGUGCUUAACACAUGCAAGUCGAACGAAACACCUUAUUUGAUUUUCUUCGGAACUGAAGAUUUGGUGAUUGAGUGGCGGACGGGUGCGUAACGCGUGGGUAACCUGCCCUGUACAGGGGGAUAACAGUCAGAAAUGACUGCUAAUACCGCAUAAGACCACAGCACCGCAUGGUGCAGGGGUAAAAACUCCGGUGGUACAGGAUGGACCCGCGUCUGAUUAGCUGGUUGGUGAGGUAACGGCUCACCAAGGCGACGAUCAGUAGCCGGCUUGAGAGAGUGAACGGCCACAGUGGGACUGAGACACGGCCCAAACUCCUACGGGAGGCAGCAGUGGGGAAUAUUGCACAAUGGGGGAAACCCUGAUGCAGCGACGCCGCGUGAGUGAAGAAGUAUUUCGGUAUGUAAAGCUCUAUCAGCAGGGAAGAAAAUGACGGUACCUGACUAAGAAGCCCCGGCUAACUACGUG